This 460-nucleotide ribosomal RNA is filed under the name uncultured bacterium. RNAcentral describes it as "partial 16S ribosomal RNA". It matches the Rfam family "Bacterial small subunit ribosomal RNA", at positions 338 to 795 of the family's 1533-position model. The record is from RNAcentral.
CCUACGGGUGGCAGCAGUGAGGAAUAUUGGUCAAUGGACGAGAGUCUGAACCAGCCAAGUAGCGUGAAGGAUGACUGCCCUAUGGGUUGUAAACUUCUUUUAUAUGGGAAUAAAAUGUUCCACGUGUGUGAUUUUGUAUGUACCAUAUGAAUAAGGAUCGGCUAACUCCGUGCCAGCAGCCGCGGUAAUACGGAGGAUCCGAGCGUUAUCCGGAUUUAUCGGGUUUAAAGGGAGCGUAGGUGGAUUUGUAAGUCAGUUGUGAAAGUUUGCGGCUCAACCGUAACAUUGCAGUUGAAACUGGAAGUCUUGAGUACAGUAGAGGUGGGCGGAAUUCGUGGUGUAGCGGUGAAAUGCUUAGAUAUCACGAAGAACUCCGAUUGCGAAGGCAGUUCACUGGACUGCAACUGACACUGAGGCUCGAAAGUGUGGGUAGCAAACAGGAUUAGAUACCCGGGUAGUC